Molecule: ribosomal RNA, 465 nt
Filed under: uncultured Klebsiella sp.
Lineage: Bacteria; Pseudomonadati; Pseudomonadota; Gammaproteobacteria; Enterobacterales; Enterobacteriaceae
Description: bacterial SSU rRNA
Rfam family: Bacterial small subunit ribosomal RNA
Source: RNAcentral
CCUACGGGGGGCUGCAGUGGGGAAUAUUGCACAAUGGGCGCAAGCCUGAUGCAGCCAUGCCGCGUGUGUGAAGAAGGCCUUCGGGUUGUAAAGCACUUUCAGCGGGGAGGAAGGCGUUAAGGUUAAUAACCUUGUCGAUUGACGUUACCCGCAGAAGAAGCACCGGCUAACUCCGUGCCAGCAGCCGCGGUAAUACGGAGGGUGCAAGCGUUAAUCGGAAUUACCGGGCGUAAAGCGCACGCAGGCGGUCUGUCAAGUCGGAUGUGAAAUCCCCGGGCUCAACCUGGGAACUGCAUUCGAAACUGGCAGGCUAGAGUCUUGUAGAGGGGGGUAGAAUUCCAGGUGUAGCGGUGAAAUGCGUAGAGAUCUGGAGGAAUACCGGUGGCGAAGGCGGCCCCCUGGACAAAGACUGACGCUCAGGUGCGAAAGCGUGGGGAGCAAACAGGAUUAGAUACCCGUGUAGUC